UACAGAGGUCUCAAGCGUUGUUCGGAUUCAUUGGGCGUAAAGGGUGCGUAGGUGGCGUCGUAAGUCAGGUGUGAAAUCUCGGAGCUCAACUCCGAAAUUGCACUGGAUACUGCUCUGCUAGAGGGCUGGAGAGGAGAUCGGAAUUCACGGUGUAGCAGUGAAAUGCGUAGAUAUCGUGAGGAAGACCAGUGGCGAAGGCGGAUCUCUGGACAGCUCCUGACGCUGAGGCGCGAAGGCUAGGGGAGCAAACAGG
RNAcentral lists this ribosomal RNA (253 nucleotides) under uncultured bacterium. RNAcentral's name for it is "partial 16S ribosomal RNA". It matches the Rfam family "Bacterial small subunit ribosomal RNA", at positions 524 to 776 of the family's 1533-position model. The record is from RNAcentral.